GAACUCGCCACCGCCGCCACCUCCCUCCGCCCUACGUCCGAACCUCCCGCUCCGACUUCGCCGCCUGGUCCUGCCUACCGCUCGCCGGCGCUGCCGACGCCAACCCAAGCCCUCUCGGACGCGGCCGCUCGCUGGCCACUCCUCCUGCUUGUUCCCUCUCCUCCUGCAUCUAGCCGCUUGACACCCGACCCGAACACCGCAACCCUAUAGUCUUUCCCGUGGCUAUCCGCGGCCGCGUGGCCGGGUUUAAACCCGGCCAGUCGCGCGUCGGUAGGCUAAGCGCAUAUAUGUUGGCAACCUAACCUGGAAAGGACGAGAGAAGUGGGCACGAACGGCCGGUGUGGGCUCGGCGGGCGCGAGCGCGGAAGUGAGCGGCCGACGGGCGCGAACGCGGACUUAGCGGCCGGCGGGCGCGAGCGCGGGUACGAGUGGCCAGUUGGGACGCGGCGGGCACGAGCGGUCGGUGAGGGUGGGCGGCGAUUAGCGUCAGCUCGGACGUCCAGGUACCACUUUUUUCCUACAUCGGUUUUAGGAGCUGCCCGCAUCUUUUCUCAUGUCUCCAACAUAGUUUUUAUCCAGCGGCGGCAGCUCGGACGUCCAAGUAGUACUUUUUUCCCUACAUCGUGUUUGGUAGUUGCCUGCAUCGUUUUUAAUGUUGCCAACAUCGUUUUUAUCCAGCGGCGGCAGCUCGGAUGUUCAAGUGGUACUUUCUUCCUACAUCGUUUUUAGUAGGUGCCUGUAUAGUUUUUAAUGUUGCCAACAUCGUUUUUAUCCAGCGGCGGUAGCUCGGAUGUCCAAGUGGUACUUUCUUCCUACAUCGUUUUUAGUAGGUGCCUGCAUCGUUUUUGAUGUUGCCAACAUCGUUUUUUAUCCAGCGACAGCAGUGCCCUGCGUCGAGCCGGCACUUACUUACAUCGUUUUAGGCAUCGGCAAAGGUCGUUUUAAGCGGCGGCUAUGGUCGUUCUUCCUUUUUGCCAACAUCGUGAACAUAAGGUCACUUUUCUUUUCAAUGGCAAGUGGCGUGCGUCGAGGGGGCCUCCGGCUAACGUCGAGGGGCGGUAGGUACCAACGUCGAGCUUAAAGCCGGCGUCGAGGGUACCUGCGGCCAGCAUCGAGGGUGCUUUUGCCCAACGUCGAGGACGGCAGGUACCAACGUCGAGCGGCGAGGCCCGCAGCCCCCUCUUCUCCUACGUCAAGGUGUAGGUACCUGCGACGAGGGCGAACGUAGUCGAGACCGCAGGAGUUUUUACGUC
RNAcentral lists this ribosomal RNA (1253 nucleotides) under Triticum aestivum (bread wheat). RNAcentral describes it as "partial small subunit ribosomal RNA". The record is from RNAcentral. Lineage: Eukaryota; Viridiplantae; Streptophyta; Magnoliopsida; Poales; Poaceae.